CAAAGUAUAACUUAAUUAAAGUAUUUCGCUUACACCGAAAAAACAUCAGUGAAACCCUGAUUUCUUUGA
Molecule: transfer RNA, 69 nt
Filed under: Silverstoneia flotator (rainforest rocket frog)
Lineage: Eukaryota; Metazoa; Chordata; Amphibia; Anura; Dendrobatidae
Description: tRNA-Val
Rfam family: tRNA
About the family: Transfer RNA (tRNA) molecules are approximately 80 nucleotides in length. Their secondary structure includes four short double-helical elements and three loops (D, anti-codon, and T loops). Further hydrogen bonds mediate the characteristic L-shaped molecular structure. tRNAs have two regions of fundamental functional importance: the anti-codon, which is responsible for specific mRNA codon recognition, and the 3' end, to which the tRNAs corresponding amino acid is attached (by aminoacyl-tRNA synthetases). tRNAs cope with the degeneracy of the genetic code in two manners: having more than one tRNA (with a specific anti-codon) for a particular amino acid; and 'wobble' base-pairing, i.e. permitting non-standard base-pairing at the 3rd anti-codon position.
Source: RNAcentral